UCACUACUUGCGUAGGCAGUUUUCUUAGAGUCCCCAUCAUGACAUGCUGGCAACUAAGAAUAGGGGUUGCGCUCGUUGCAGGACUUAACCUAACACCUCACGGCACGAGCUGACGACAACCAUGCAGCACCUCGUAGUCAGUUCCGAAGAAAUAAAUGCUUUCACACUUAGUCCAACUACGUUCGAGCCCAGGUAAGGUUCCUCGCGUAUCAUCGAAUUAAACCACAUGCUCCUCCGCUUGUGCGGGCCCCCGUCAAUUCCUUUGAGUUUCAAUCUUGCGAUCGUACUCCCCAGGUGGAUUACUUAUCACUUUCGCUUAGCCGCUGACUGUGUAUCGCCAACAGCGAGUAAUCAUCGUUUACGGCGUGGACUAC
This 374-nucleotide unclassified non-coding RNA is filed under the name uncultured Bacteroidia bacterium. RNAcentral's name for it is "contains 16S-23S intergenic spacer region". The record is from RNAcentral. Lineage: Bacteria; Pseudomonadati; Bacteroidota; Bacteroidia.